Non-coding RNA from Pangasius djambal, 78 nucleotides. The record is from the annotation of a GenBank genome assembly. Lineage: Eukaryota; Metazoa; Chordata; Actinopteri; Siluriformes; Pangasiidae.
UCCCUGGAGGACUAGUGGUUAAGCCACAGCACUCUCACUGCCAUGGCCUGGGCCCGGGUCCGAUUCCUGGCAAGGGGA